Molecule: ribosomal RNA, 253 nt
Filed under: uncultured bacterium
Lineage: Bacteria
Description: partial 16S ribosomal RNA
Rfam family: Bacterial small subunit ribosomal RNA
Source: RNAcentral
UACGUAGGGGGCAAGCGUUGUCCGGAAUUAUUGGGCGUAAAGCGCGCGCAGGCGGCUAGUUAAGUCAGAUGUGAAAGGCUGCGGCUCAACCGCAGAGCUGCAUCUGAAACUGAUUAGCUUGAGUGCAGGAGAGGAUAGUGGAAUUCCCGGUGUAGCGGUGGAAUGCGUAGAGAUCGGGAGGAACACCAGUGGCGAAGGCGCCUGUCUGGACUGUAACUGACGCUGAGGCGCGAAAGCGUGGGGAGCAAACAGG